CCAUAAUAACGUUUUUUUUGUAAUUAAAUGUGCUUUUCAUGAUGGUAUCCUUACAUCACUCAAAUUUAUAAGCGCAGGCCUAAAUUUACCCCACGCCUUUUGGUAAGCGCAGGAGUGAGAAGAGGUUUUAAAUCAAUUAGCGCCCCGACGGCUAUUCAAGGAAAUACGGUAUGUGACGCGUCGACGCACAAAAACGGCGUCGACGUAUUUACGUAAUCGAUGACGUCGACGCGUCGUUUCAGCCUAAAUCUCAUUGUAAAGAGAAUUCCAUAGUUGAACCCCCACCACUGAUAUGCACAUUUGUUUUCAAGUUGUCCCUGAAUACCCAUGUUGGAAAUGACCUUUUCUUCUAUGCUCUUCAUUCUCACAAGUGAUGACAAACAUUUGUUGUAAAUUUGCUGGUAAUGUUUUACUUGUAGCCUUAAACGUGACACAUGAUGUCUGUAACUUUACUAGCUGCUGUAGUGUCAUCCAUCCAUCCAUUUUCUACCGCUUAUUCCCUUUGGGGUCGCGGGGGCGCUGGAGCCUAUCUCAGCUGCACAUGGGCGGAAGGCGGGGUACACCCUGGACAAGUCGCCACCUCAUCGCAGGGCCAACACAGAUAGACAGACAACAUUCACACACUAGGGCCCAUUUAGUGUUGCCAAUCAACCUAUCCCCAGGUGCAUGUCUUUGGAGGUGGGAGGAAGCCGGAGUACCCGGAGGGAACCCACGCAGUCACGGGGAGAACAUGCAAACUCCACACAGAAAGAUCCCGAGCCCGGGAUUGAACCCAAGACUACUCAGGACCUUCGUAUUGUGAGGCAGACGCACUAACCCCUCUGCCACCGUGCUGCCCCUGUAGUUUCAAUAAACCAUAAUUAAUAAAUAAUAUGUUAGUGUGUUCUAAGUGAUCUACUUUAUGAAUAAUCUUUUCUGUAGUUGAUACAAUGCCUUUAUGUUACUCUUAUGUGUUCCCCCACACUUCCACACAGUAGCUGAUGUAUGGCAAUGUAAGUGUGCACAAUUGCCCUAUAAUCUAACACAUAUUUGACCUUAUUUAAUAUAAAAAUACUCUUAGACAUUUGUUUCCGUACAUGUGCAAUAUGAGAUUUCCAUGUCAGACCGUCAUCCAGUAUCACUCCUAAAAAUCUAAGUUCAGAAACCCUUUCAAUAUCAAUUCCAUCUAUUGACAGUGUGAUCCUUUCCUCCCUUUUCCUCUUACAAGACAUCAUGAACUUUGGUUUUUUUUACAUUUAAUGAUACUUUAUUGACAUCAAACCGUCUCUUAAGUUGAAUCAUUUCCUGUUCAAUAAUGUUUGAUAAUGCUUUUAAGUCAUGUCCCGAACUAGAAAAGUUGGUGUCGUUCGCAAUUAAUACAAAUGUCAAUAACUUUGAUACCUCACAUAUAUCAUUCAUAUAUAAAAUAAACCAUUUUGGUCCCAAAACCGAACCUUGUGGAAGUCCACAUUCAAUCCUCAUGUGUUCAGAUGGAUUACCCACAACAUCCACAACCUCUUGUCUAUUAUCUAAAUAACUUCGUAGCCAGUCUAAAACUACUCCUCUCACACCAAAUGAAUAGAAUAGGGAUCCAUCUCGGUUCACACUCCAUUACAGUAGGUGGCGGUAAUGCACACCACAAGGUUGCUUGCCAACCGCCAUAAAAAAUCAGAAGAAGAAGAAGAAGAACGGGCGUGCGUGCGUGAGGGGACGUGACGUCUGACGUCACUACCCCUAGCGGUUUAGGGCACGUAUCCAGAACAUUCGGGAUGUCUGGACGCUAGCUGGAGGUGAGGCGGGAGCGAAGAAAAGUGGAAAAAGAGUGUUAUUCGUCAAAAAACCCACACGACGACGGUCAUUUUUUCGCCGUGCUAUUGUAAAAUGGUCUUUUAUCUGUGUUUUGUGUUCCGGCUCCAGAAUUUGAAAGUUCCGCGCGUGAAGCCGGUGAGUAACGUAGAAAAUGAACGUUUCAAAAGUUCAAUAAGGUUAACUUAGGCUAUCUUUUGCUCGACGCAGUGAAUGUGUGCAGGUUACAUGCUACGAUAUUCCACAUAUUUCCAAGUGGUUGAAACCAAAGCCUAUGACUUUAUUGUCAGUGUUGUUUGUAGGCCCAGGUCGCUAACGUUACUUUGUUACUGUCAACAACGUAACGUUAACGUUGAGGGUAACGUAGUGGAAACAGACGUUCUUUGCCUUGAUAAAUAUGCAGAGGACGACGUGUUUCAAAUAUUGGUGAAAUGUUUGAAUUAAGCAGUUACUGCAUAUGUGAAAGUUUUUUUGAAAUGAUCAGACUUUGGAGAAAAAAGCAAAAUCCUAAUAUGUUCAGAAGGGCUGUCUAACGGAGUCGCCCUCGCCAAUAAGGGAUUGACCACGUAAUGCAGUACACUAUACAUCAUCAUAUGCAUUUUGCAUCUUAAGUCACAUUCUCUGUUAUGUUCUAGUACCAUAGAGUGCUUGGAAAUAAAGUUUGUCAUUUUGAGCAACAUUUGUGAGUAUUUGUUCAUUUUAAAACACCAUUUGGUUAUGCCAUUCACCAUGAUUUGGAAAGAAAUGACAUUUGUUUAUUGUCUCCCUGCAGAUCUUGUGUGACGUCUCUGCGCCACACAAGAGAGUACAAAUCACACAAGAGACUGAGAGAGAGCAGAUACUGAUAGAGAAACUCAUGCACACAACCUUUGGCCUUCGCCGGCGACACAUUGUUCAAGGAAGUCCAGGGGUGCGGGAAUUCCUGGAGAACUGGCCGGCCUCACAGAGUUUCAUCGUAUUACAAAUGUGAAUCCACGCAACCAGUUCUACUGUGAACUUGAGCGCUACACACCAAAACUGGUUGCACUGUAUCGACAGAAGUCCUCAAGGACUGGAAAGGGAGCAGAGGCACUGCAAGAGAUGCUGAGAAUUGAUGACUUGGACGCCAGCUCCAGCUCGUGGUGUCCAAGACGAGACUUAAAACCAGGGGAGACAGGGCCUUCUCUGUGGUCGGCCCUAAGCUCUGGAACACUCUGCCCCUCCAUGUUCGAACUGCUCCCACAGUGGAGUGUUUUAAGUCUCGUCUUAAGACCCACUUUUAUUCUCUGGCUUUUAGCACUACGUGAGUUGUGUGGUCCUCUGUUGUCCUCUGUGUUUUUAAAAUUUUGCUUUUGCUUUCUAUUUACUGUUUUAAUUGGUUUUACCCUUUGAAAUUGUUUUUAAUCACAUUUAUUUUAUAUUGUUUUUAAUUGUGUUUAAUAUUGUUGUGCAGCACUUUGGAAACAUUUUGUUGUUUAAAUGUGCUAUAUAAAUAAAGUGGAUU
Molecule: non-coding RNA, 3268 nt
Organism: Nerophis lumbriciformis (worm pipefish)
Lineage: Eukaryota; Metazoa; Chordata; Actinopteri; Syngnathiformes; Syngnathidae
Source: RefSeq, a predicted model, not a curated record